Molecule: ribosomal RNA, 624 nt
Filed under: uncultured bacterium
Lineage: Bacteria
Description: bacterial SSU rRNA
Rfam family: Bacterial small subunit ribosomal RNA (bases 1-545)
Source: RNAcentral
CCUACGGGAGGCAGCAGUAGGGAAUCUUCCGCAAUGGACGAAAGUCUGACGGAGCAACGCCGCGUGAACGAUGAAGGCCUUCGGGUCGUAAAGUUCUGUUGUUAGGGAAGAACAAGUGCUAGUUGAAUAAGCUGGCACCUUGACGGUACCUAACCAGAAAGCCACGGCUAACUACGUGCCAGCAGCCGCGGUAAUACGUAGGUGGCAAGCGUUGUCCGGAAUUAUUGGGCGUAAAGCGCGCGCAGGCGGUUUCUUAAGUCUGAUGUGAAAGCCCCCGGCUCAACCGGGGAGGGUCAUUGGAAACUGGGAAACUUGAGUGCAGAAGAGGAAAGUGGAAUUCCAAGUGUAGCGGUGAAAUGCGUAGAGAUUUGGAGGAACACCAGUGGCGAAGGCGACUUUCUGGUCUGUAACUGACGCUGAGGCGCGAAAGCGUGGGGAGCAAACAGGAUUAGAUACCCUGGUAGUCCACGCUGUAAACGAUGAGUGCUAAGUGUUAGAGGGUUUCCGCCCUUUAGUGCUGAAGUUAACGCAUUAAGCACNCCNCCGUCGGNGGACGGUACGGCGAGACGAGAAGUAAAGUAAAGUAGUAGCGUGAGAGNGCGACGACGACGACGAGGGAGGAGG